RNAcentral lists this transfer RNA (70 nucleotides) under Marmota monax (woodchuck). RNAcentral's name for it is "tRNA.Ala". Lineage: Eukaryota; Metazoa; Chordata; Mammalia; Rodentia; Sciuridae. The record is from RNAcentral.
UGGGAUGUGUAUCAGUGGUAGAGCACUUGCCUGGCCUGCAUGAGGCCCUGGGUUCAAUCCCCAGCACCAA